This 497-nucleotide ribosomal RNA is filed under the name uncultured bacterium. RNAcentral's name for it is "partial 16S ribosomal RNA". It matches the Rfam family "Bacterial small subunit ribosomal RNA", at positions 28 to 507 of the family's 1533-position model. The record is from RNAcentral.
GAUGAACGCUGGCGGCGUGCCUAAUACAUGCAAGUCGAGCGAACGGACGAGAAGCUUGCUUCUCUGAUGUUAGCGGCGGACGGGUGAGUAACACGUGGAUAACCUACCUAUAAGACUGGGAUAACUUCGGGAAACCGGAGCUAAUACCGGAUGAUAUUUUGAACCGCAUGGUUCAAAAGUGAAAGACGGUCUUUCUGUCACUUAUAGAUGGAUCCGCGCUGCAUUAGCUAGUUGGUAAGGUAACGGCUUACCAAGGCAACGAUGCAUAGCCGACCUGAGAGGGUGAUCGGCCACACUGGAACUGAGACACGGUCCAGACUCCUACGGGAGGCAGCAGUAGGGAAUCUUCCGCAAUGGGCGAAAGCCUGACGGAGCAACGCCGCGUGAGUGAUGAAGGUCUUCGGAUCGUAAAACUCUGUUAUUAGGGAAGAACAUAUGUGUAAGUAACUGUGCACAUCUUGACGGUACCUAAUCAGAAAGCCACGGCUAACUACGUG